UGAUGUUAGCGGCGGACGGGUGAGUAACACGUGGGUAACCUGCCUGUAAGACUGGGAUAACUCCGGGAAACCGGGGCUAAUACCGGAUGGUUGUUUGAACCGCAUGGUUCAAACAUAAAAGGUGGCUUCGGCUACCACUUACAGAUGGACCCGCGGCGCAUUAGCUAGUUGGUGAGGUAACGGCUCACCAAGGCAACGAUGCGUAGCCGACCUGAGAGGGUGAUCGGCCACACUGGGACUGAGACACGGCCCAGACUCCUACGGGAGGCAGCAGUAGGGAAUCUUCCGCAAUGGACGAAAGUCUGACGGAGCAACGCCGCGUGAGUGAUGAAGGUUUUCGGAUCGUAAAGCUCUGUUGUUAGGGAAGAACAAGUACCGUUCGAAUAGGGCGGUACCUUGACGGUACCUAACCAGAAAGCCACGGCUAACUACGUGCCAGCAGCCGCGGUAAUACGUAGGUGGCAAGCGUUGUCCGGAAUUAUUGGGCGUAAAGGGCUCGCAGGCGGUUUCUUAAGUCUGAUGUGAAAGCCCCCGGCUCAACCGGGGAGGGUCAUUGGAAACUGGGGAACUUGAGUGCAGAAGAGGAGAGUGGAAUUCCACGUGUAGCGGUGAAAUGCGUAGAGAUGUGGAGGAACACCAGUGG
Molecule: ribosomal RNA, 643 nt
Filed under: Bacillus tequilensis
Lineage: Bacteria; Bacillati; Bacillota; Bacilli; Caryophanales; Bacillaceae
Description: bacterial SSU rRNA
Rfam family: Bacterial small subunit ribosomal RNA
Source: RNAcentral